AACUAACGCUGGCGGCGUGCCUAACACAUGCAAGUCGUACGAGAAAGUUGGCUUCGGCCGAUGAGUAAAGUGGCGCACGGGUGAGUAAUGCGUGGAUAAUCUGCCCUUUAGUUGGGAAUAACGUACCGAAAGGUGCGCUAAUACCUGAUAAUACUGCAUAACUACUGUUGUGUAGUCAAAGAAGGCCUCUGUUUACAAGCUUUUGCUGAAGGAUGAGUCCGCGUACCAUUAGCUGGUUGGUGGGGUAAUGGCCUACCAAGGCUACGAUGGUUAGCUGGUCUGAGAGGAUGAUCAGCCACACUGGAACUGAGACACGGUCCAGACUCCUACGGGAGGCAGCAGUGAGGAAUAUUGCGCAAUGGGGGCAACCCUGACGCAGCAACGCCGCGUGAGUGAGGAAGGUUUUCGGACCGUAAAGCUCUGUCGAGCGGAAGAAAUGUAUCAUGGCUAAUAUCCAUGAUACUUGACGGUACCGCUAAAGG
RNAcentral lists this ribosomal RNA (482 nucleotides) under uncultured bacterium. RNAcentral's name for it is "bacterial SSU rRNA". It matches the Rfam family "Bacterial small subunit ribosomal RNA", at positions 29 to 487 of the family's 1533-position model. The record is from RNAcentral.